RNAcentral lists this transfer RNA (73 nucleotides) under Candidatus Omnitrophica bacterium 4484_70.2. RNAcentral describes it as "tRNA-Met". It matches the Rfam family "tRNA". From Rfam's summary of the family: Transfer RNA (tRNA) molecules are approximately 80 nucleotides in length. Their secondary structure includes four short double-helical elements and three loops (D, anti-codon, and T loops). The record is from RNAcentral. Lineage: Bacteria; Pseudomonadati; Candidatus Omnitrophota.
GGGCCCGUAGCUCAGUUGGUAGAGCAGCUGACUCAUAAUCAGUUGGUCCCGGGUUCAAGUCCUGGCGGGCCCA